This 381-nucleotide long non-coding RNA is filed under the name Cyanistes caeruleus (blue tit). Its description in RNAcentral is "lncRNA (ENSCCEG00000017460.1)". Lineage: Eukaryota; Metazoa; Chordata; Aves; Passeriformes; Paridae. The record is from RNAcentral.
AUGCAAUAUGCCACUUUAACAGUCCUGGAGCCCGGAGUUCUGCUCAGCCACAACACAGGACAUGAAGCUGACAGCAGGGUGGAUUUGUACAUGCUGCUCACCUUAUGCUCCUUAAUUGUGCUCAGCAGAGACCAGUCUAAGGACAGAGUUAGCAUGGGAGAGCUGGUGAAUUCUGAGGAACACUUGGGACAUGGAAGAGCAUUUCAUAUGGUGGAGAGUACAAAAAAAUGUGGUGAUAAGGUUUCAUCUCCUGUUUUACUCCACCAAAAGAUACUUUUCUACAUCUUUACAUGGCAGCUAUAUUCUAUAGCAUUCUUCCACAGGAGGAAGAAAAUAGCGACUUUUCAGGCCAAAAGAGUGAAAAAGUUGUCUCUUAACUAA